RNAcentral lists this ribosomal RNA (412 nucleotides) under Nauphoeta cinerea (gray cockroach). RNAcentral describes it as "partial 16S ribosomal RNA". The record is from RNAcentral. Lineage: Eukaryota; Metazoa; Arthropoda; Insecta; Blattodea; Blaberidae.
UUACGCUGUUAUCCCUAAGGUAAUUUAGCUUAUAAUCACUAUUAGUGGAUCAAGAACAUACACAUAAGUAUUUAUAUUCAAAAAAGAGUUACAAUUAUCUUUCCAUCACCCCAACAAAAUACUUACCAAUUAUAAUAAAAUUUUCCCACAAAAUUAAAUAAAUAAGUAUUAAACUCUAUAGGGUCUUCUCGUCCCAUAAAAUUAUUUAAGCUUUUUUACCUAAUAAUUAAAUUCAAUUCAUUACCAAUAAGAUAGUAUUUAUCUCGUCUAACCAUUCAUUCCAGCCUUCAAUUAAAAGACUAAUGAUUAUGCUACCUUUGCACGGUCAAAAUACCGCGGCCAUUAAAUAUUAUCAUUGGGCAGGUAUUACUUCUUAAAAAUAUCAAGAAGAGAUGUUUUUGUUAAACAGGCG